Molecule: ribosomal RNA, 253 nt
Filed under: uncultured bacterium
Lineage: Bacteria
Description: partial 16S ribosomal RNA
Rfam family: Bacterial small subunit ribosomal RNA
Source: RNAcentral
UACAGAGGUCUCAAGCGUUGUUCGGAUUCAUUGGGCGUAAAGGGUGCGAAGGUGGCGGGGUUAGUCAGGUGUGAAAUCUCGGAGCUCAACUCCGAAACUGCACUUGAUACUGCCUUGCUUGAGUACUGGAGAGGAGAUUGGAAUUUACGGUGUAGCAGUGAAAUGCGUAGAUAUCGUAAGGAAGACCAGUGGCGAAGGCGAAUCUCUGGACAGUUACUGACACUGAGGCACGAAGGCCAGGGGAGCAAACGGG